RNAcentral lists this ribosomal RNA (441 nucleotides) under uncultured bacterium. RNAcentral's name for it is "partial 16S ribosomal RNA". It matches the Rfam family "Bacterial small subunit ribosomal RNA", at positions 338 to 795 of the family's 1533-position model. The record is from RNAcentral.
CCUACGGGGAGCAGCAGUGGGGGAUAUUGCACAAUGGGGGGAACCCUGAUGCAGCGACGCCGCGGGGGUGAAGGAGUAUUUCGGUAUGUAAAGCCCUAUCGGCAGGGAAGAAAUUGGACGGUACCUGAAUAAGAAGCCUCGGCUAACUACGUGCCAGCAGCAGCGGUACCACGGAGGGGGCAAGCGUUAUCCGGAUCCACUGGGUGAAAAGGGAGCGUAGACGGCCAUGCAAGCCAGGGGUGAAAGCCCGGGGCCCAACCCCGGGACUGCCCUUGGAACUGCAUGGCUGGAGUGCGGGAGGGGCAGGCGGAAUUCCUGGUGUAGCGGUGAAAUGCGUAGAUAUCAGGAGGAACACCGGCGGCGAAGGCGGCCUGCUGGACCGCGACUGACGUUGAGGCUCGAAAGCGUGGGGAGCGAACAGGAUUAGAUACCCCUGUAGUC